AACCAAACAGAAUCACAGAAUGAGAAUGGGAGAAGCCUAAUCCAGACUCAUCAAUUUGCAAAUGAAGACUUAAGGCUCAGAGAGGUGAAACAAAGCUGGAUGCUUCUACAGUGUGUUGCCACCUACCAAGCCCUUGACAGCUUCUUCAACCAAUUUCAAAUGUUAAAUUUUAAACUUUAUAAGAACAGGGACUAUGUCUGAGUUACUCAUUGUACUCCCAGCAGCUAGCAUAAGGCACCGUGUUACAAAGUCUUGUGAAACAAAGCCCUGAUUUCAUAGCAAGCUAUGUGCUGAACUUUCACCAGAAAAGUGUGCCUCCUUACGGAACAUCCUCUAAGGGUACGGAGCUACCCUCACCAGAUCAGAAUCACAGGGGCUAAAGUACUUACAUGGGUUAACCGAGAUCAUUCAAAUGCUGUAAAAUUGUGAAUGAUAUAGGAUGACUUUAAGCUGAGCCUCACUUAUUGCCGCAUCCAAUAACACCAUCACAGUCCAAAUUCUAUUCUAGGACUUUGUUGGUUAAGAAUACAAGAAUCAGCCCAGUGUGGCGUGGUGAGCAUCUAUAGUCUCAGCUACUCAGGAAGCUGAGGUGGAAG
This is a long non-coding RNA of Gorilla gorilla gorilla (western lowland gorilla), 596 nucleotides long. RefSeq lists it as uncharacterized. NCBI's taxonomy places the organism in Eukaryota, Metazoa, Chordata, Mammalia, Primates, Hominidae. The record is from RefSeq and is a predicted model, not a curated record. The transcript is spliced from 3 exons.